Long non-coding RNA from Ictalurus punctatus (channel catfish), 372 nucleotides. The record is from Ensembl. NCBI's taxonomy places the organism in Eukaryota, Metazoa, Chordata, Actinopteri, Siluriformes, Ictaluridae.
GAAAAAUAUUUGCCCAUAUUAUGGCUGAAUUGUCGGGACUUGGAGCCAUCUACGUGUUUUUCCAUGGAACCUGGAUACACCCGAGAACAGACAGGGAAACUGUCCUUCAACACGGAAUUCCAAGACGUCAAAACAAAACGGCGGCUCACGGUCACAGCAACCCGAUUUCCCCUCGCAUCAUUUACUUUGUAGCUGUUGUCUUCAGAAAAGAUGUUUUGAUUGCUUCAGGUGUUGCGACUCACACUCAUUUAGAAAGCAACAUGGGGUCCUGGACCUCCUUUGCAGACUCCACUACUAUCAAUCUGGAGCCAAUUCCUCAGCCAGCACAUCCACACGGCCAACACAGCACGCUUCAAAUUGCACUGAGGAAGG